CCUACGGGUGGCAGCAGUAGGGAAUCUUCCACAAUGGGCGAAAGCCUGAUGGAGCAACGCCGCGUGGGUGAAGAAGGUCUUCUGAUCGUAAAACCCUGUUGUUAGAGAAGAAAGUGCGUGAGAGUAACUGUUCCCGUUUCGACGGUAUCUAACCAGAAAGCCCCGGCUAACUACGUGCCAGCAGCCGCGGUAAUACGUAGGUGGCAAGCGUUAUCCGGAUUUAUUGGGCGUAAAGGGAACGCAGGCGGUCUUUUAAGGCUGAUGUGAAAGCCUUGGGCUUAACCGGAGGAGUGCAUUGGAAACUGGGAGACUUGAGUGCGGAAGAGGAGAGUGGAACUCGAUGUGUAGCGGUGAAAUGCGUAGAUAUAUGGAAGAACACCAGUGGCGAAAGCAGCUCGCUGGUCUGUAACUGACGCUGAGGUUCGAAAGCGUGGGUAGCAAACAGGAUUAGAUACCCCUGUAGUC
Molecule: ribosomal RNA, 465 nt
Filed under: uncultured bacterium
Lineage: Bacteria
Description: partial 16S ribosomal RNA
Rfam family: Bacterial small subunit ribosomal RNA
Source: RNAcentral